Vicugna pacos (alpaca) is the source of this 80-nucleotide non-coding RNA. Lineage: Eukaryota; Metazoa; Chordata; Mammalia; Artiodactyla; Camelidae. The record is from RefSeq and is a predicted model, not a curated record.
GCUGCUUGGAGUUUAUUUUCUACUUGGUGCAAGGCACAGGGUUAUGAGGGGUCAGGAAGGCUCUCACGUGGGUUUGUACC